UUCAGCUUACACUUGCUUAC
RNAcentral lists this unclassified non-coding RNA (20 nucleotides) under Mus musculus (house mouse). RNAcentral describes it as "oocyte_clustered_small_RNA7595". The record is from RNAcentral. Lineage: Eukaryota; Metazoa; Chordata; Mammalia; Rodentia; Muridae.